UUCAUGGCUGAAGCUUCUCCUCAUCCUCACCUUCUUAAUUCUGGCAGUCCUACACCAUCUCUUUCUUCUACUACUGCUGGUGUCAGUCCUACUUCCCCUCCCAGUCCUCUUCAUACUCCUGCUGAUAUCAGCUCUCCACAUACGCCUAUUCCCUCCACUUCUUCUUCUCCUGGCCUAAUUCUCUCUGAUAUUGCUGAAUGC
This 201-nucleotide long non-coding RNA is filed under the name Lathyrus oleraceus (garden pea). RNAcentral describes it as "Pisum sativum (pea) long non-coding RNA (PSAT_LNC024124)". Lineage: Eukaryota; Viridiplantae; Streptophyta; Magnoliopsida; Fabales; Fabaceae. The record is from RNAcentral.